AAGACCAUGUUAUGCAGUGAUCAGCACGUGCACUUGCAAAGAAAGUAACAUGGAUAGGAUCUUCUGGCUCAACUGCGUGUGGCAGAGAUCGUCAAAUUGUUCGGGGAAGCCCUUAGAGCUCAAGCUACCAACCAUUGGUUGAAAGACCAGUGGGGCCCUUCCUAGGGAUGGUAAUAAUGCUUUGAGAUUGGGUAAUCCGCAGCCAAGCUCCUAAAACUUGCUUAGCAAGUCAUGGAGAAGGUUCAACGACUGUAAGGCGUACCGCGCAAGCGGAAUAUACAGUCUAGCCCCACGGGAAACUGUGCC
Spizellomyces punctatus DAOM BR117 is the source of this 306-nucleotide non-coding RNA. NCBI's taxonomy places the organism in Eukaryota, Fungi, Chytridiomycota, Chytridiomycetes, Spizellomycetales, Spizellomycetaceae. The record is from Rfam.